UUUAUCGGAGAGUUUGAUCCUGGCUCAGGACGAACGCUGGCGGCGUGCCUAAUACAUGCAAGUCGAGCGGACAGAUGGGAGCUUGCUCCCUGAUGUUAGCGGCGGACGGGUGAGUAACACGUGGGUAACCUGCCUGUAAGACUGGGAUAACUCCGGGAAACCGGGGCUAAUACCGGAUGGUUGUCUGGACCGCAUGGUUCAGACAUAAAAGGUGGCUUCGGCUACCACUUACAGAUGGACCCGCGGCGCAUUAGCUAGUUGGUGAGGUAACGGCUCACCAAGGCGACGAUGCGUAGCCGACCUGAGAGGGUGAUCGGCCACACUGGGACUGAGACACGGCCCAGACUCCUACGGGAGGCAGCAGUAGGGAAUCUUCCGCAAUGGACGAAAGUCUGACGGAGCAACGCCGCGUGAGUGAUGAAGGUUUUCGGAUCGUAAAGCUCUGUUGUUAGGGAAGAACAAGUGCCGUUCAAAUAGGGCGGCACCUUGACGGUACCUAACCAGAAAGCCACGGCUAACUACGUGCCAGCAGCCGCGGUAAUACGUAGGUGGCAAGCGUUGUCCGGAAUUAUUGGGCGUAAAGGGCUCGCAGGCGGUUUCUUAAGUCUGAUGUGAAAGCCCCCGGCUCAACCGGGGAGGGUCAUUGGAAACUGGGGAACUUGAGUGCAGAAGAGGAGAGUGGAAUUCCACGUGUAGCGGUGAAAUGCGUAGAGAUGUGGAGGAACACCAGUGGCGAAGGCGACUCUCUGGUCUGUAACUGACGCUGAGGAGCGAAAGCGUGGGGAGCGAACAGGAUUAGAUACCCUGGUAGUCCACGCCGUAAACGAUGAGUGCUAAGUGUUAGGGGGUUUCCGCCCCUUAGUGCUGCAGCUAACGCAUUAAGCACUCCGCCUGGGGAGUACGGUCGCAAGACUGAAACUCAAAGGAAUUGACGGGGGCCCGCACAAGCGGUGGAGCAUGUGGUUUAAUUCGAAGCAACGCGAAGAACCUUACCAGGUCUUGACAUCCUCUGACAAUCCUAGAGAUAGGACGUCCCCUUCGGGGGCAGAGUGACAGGUGGUGCAUGGUUGUCGUCAGCUCGUGUCGUGAGAUGUUGGGUUAAGUCCCGCAACGAGCGCAACCCUUGAUCUUAGUUGCCAGCAUUCAGUUGGGCACUCUAAGGUGACUGCCGGUGACAAACCGGAGGAAGGUGGGGAUGACGUCAAAUCAUCAUGCCCCUUAUGACCUGGGCUACACACGUGCUACAAUGGACAGAACAAAGGGCAGCGAAACCGCGAGGUUAAGCCAAUCCCACAAAUCUGUUCUCAGUUCGGAUCGCAGUCUGCAACUCGACUGCGUGAAGCUGGAA
Molecule: ribosomal RNA, 1348 nt
Filed under: Bacillus amyloliquefaciens
Lineage: Bacteria; Bacillati; Bacillota; Bacilli; Caryophanales; Bacillaceae
Description: bacterial SSU rRNA
Rfam family: Bacterial small subunit ribosomal RNA
Source: RNAcentral